Molecule: ribosomal RNA, 497 nt
Filed under: uncultured bacterium
Lineage: Bacteria
Description: partial 16S ribosomal RNA
Rfam family: Bacterial small subunit ribosomal RNA
Source: RNAcentral
GAUGAACGCUGGCGGCGUGCCUAAUACAUGCAAGUCGAGCGAACAGACGAGGAGCUUGCUCCUUUGACGUUAGCGGCGGACGGGUGAGUAACACGUGGAUAACCUACCUAUAAGACUGGGAUAACUUCGGGAAACCGGAGCUAAUACCGGAUAACAUGUUGAACCGCAUGGUUCAACAGUGAAAGACGGUCUUGCUGUCACUUAUAGAUGGAUCCGCGCCGCAUUAGCUAGUUGGUAAGGUAACGGCUUACCAAGGCAACGAUGCGUAGCCGACCUGAGAGAGUGAUCGGCCACACUGGAACGGAGACGCGGUCAAGACUCCUACGGGAGGCAGCAGUAGGGAAUCUUCCGCAAUGGGCGAAAGCCUGACGAAGCAACGCCGCGUGAGUGAAGAAGGUCUUCGGAUCGUAAAACUCUGUUAUUAGGGAAAAACAAAUGUGUAAGUAACUAUGCACGUCUUGACGGUACCUAAUCAGAAAGCCACGGCUAACUACGUG